ACCUGGGUGGCUCAGUUGGUUGAGCGUCCGACUUCGGCUCAGGUCAUGGUCUCACGGUUUGUGGGUUCAAGUCCCACAUCAGGCU
Molecule: transfer RNA, 85 nt
Filed under: Felis catus (domestic cat)
Lineage: Eukaryota; Metazoa; Chordata; Mammalia; Carnivora; Felidae
Rfam family: tRNA
About the family: Transfer RNA (tRNA) molecules are approximately 80 nucleotides in length. Their secondary structure includes four short double-helical elements and three loops (D, anti-codon, and T loops).
Source: Rfam by way of RNAcentral